This 74-nucleotide transfer RNA is filed under the name Roseihalotalea indica. RNAcentral's name for it is "tRNA-Asp". It matches the Rfam family "tRNA". Rfam says of the family: Transfer RNA (tRNA) molecules are approximately 80 nucleotides in length. Their secondary structure includes four short double-helical elements and three loops (D, anti-codon, and T loops). Further hydrogen bonds mediate the characteristic L-shaped molecular structure. tRNAs have two regions of fundamental functional importance: the anti-codon, which is responsible for specific mRNA codon recognition, and the 3' end, to which the tRNAs corresponding amino acid is attached (by aminoacyl-tRNA synthetases). tRNAs cope with the degeneracy of the genetic code in two manners: having more than one tRNA (with a specific anti-codon) for a particular amino acid; and 'wobble' base-pairing, i.e. permitting non-standard base-pairing at the 3rd anti-codon position. Lineage: Bacteria; Pseudomonadati; Bacteroidota; Cytophagia; Cytophagales; Catalimonadaceae. The record is from RNAcentral.
GGUGCAGUAGUUCAAUUGCGUGGAAUACCCCGCUGUCGCCGGGGAGGUUGCGAGUUCGAGUCUCGUCUGCACCG